This 1522-nucleotide long non-coding RNA is filed under the name Papio anubis (olive baboon). RNAcentral's name for it is "lncRNA (ENSPANG00000043034.1)". Lineage: Eukaryota; Metazoa; Chordata; Mammalia; Primates; Cercopithecidae. The record is from RNAcentral.
AUGAAGCCACAGAGUCUGACCUGUGAGGAGGGUGGUGGGUCCACAGGAACCCAGGCUCUGCUGAGAUGGGCGGAUCUGGGCAAGGGAAAGAAAUGCAAUCAGGAAUGCAGCAAGGUGGAGCUGAAAGGUCCUGUGAAGACUGCUGAGCAUCAGGGUCGGGUUGGAGUGCAGUGGCAAAAUAAAGGCUCGUUGAAGCCUGGAUCUCCUGGCCUCAAGUGAUCCUCCCACCUCAACCCCCCAAGUAGCUGGGACCACAGAGAAUGCCCCCAGCUGCACUUCAAAUCCCAUCCUGAACUUGGACAAGCAAGAGCUGUCAUCUUGUGGGCACCACAUGAUUUCCUUAAAGACAACUGGCCUGGACCUAUAAGUUGCUUUUAAAUUUUUUAUCUUCUAGAUAGUGCUGGCGUGAUCAUUUUCAUACACCCAUUCGUAGCAUGUGCAAAAUACCUACGGCUUGCUGAGCACUGUGUUGACUGAACACCCCAGGCUAAGGCCCUGCGGGGCUGGAAGGGGGAAAACAACUCUAUUUCACUUCUGAAAAUGGCUGCGCAGGAGGGAACUGAAAGAGGAGGCCGUGCCUGUGCCAGGGUGUUACAUUUGUGCCCAUCCCUGACUUGCCCGCCCCUCCAAUGUGCCUGCCACUGUGCCGUGUACACUCUGCCAUUCUGGAAGUAUGUAUUAUGCUUCAGAGACAUCAGAGAGCCCAGGGCAGGCUGAUUCUACUUUUCUACAACCAGGGAGCUAAAGACUGCAUCUAGUUAGGGGUAGCGAGCCUGGAAUAUCAGCUGGAAAAAGCAAUGGAGAUUCUUGGCGUUGUCCCUAUCAGAGCUUCCUGAAGCCCUUCAAAGGAGCAGCGUGCUGGGUGGACGGUACUAUAUCCAUGACCUCAUCUCCUUUGCUGUCCUCCUUUUUCUGGUCAAAUCAAACAAAAACAAAACAUUUGCCAACAUUAUAUUUAGGGGCUGUUGUAUAUUAAGAGGAGCAAUUGUGAGGAAAUCUAAAAUUAGCCCAACAUUAAUCAGGACCUGUCACCAAAGUAGAUGACUUGGUUUCCAAUUCCACAUGUCAUGCUCUUAGAGACAGAGCUUAGUGACACUGAGGAAGCCCAGUGCUGGGACACUGUGUGACUGCUGGCCGUGGUAUAAUGUGCGCUUGCUGCAGAGUCGGGCGGGCCUGGGUUUGACUCCUGGCUCUGACCUUUGCUAGCUUCGGAUCCAAGAAGUGCCUUCUUAACCUCUUUAACCUCAGUUUCUCCAUGUGAAAGGAGAGGCUGAAAGCACCCACAGCAUUGUUGUGACAGUUAGAUAAGAUAAUAUGUGUAAAGGUUGACCAUGUAGAGUUCCUGGUGCAAUGGUCCUUUGAAAACGCUGUUUUCCCUCCCCCGGCAAGGCUGUAGCUUCUGAAACGAACUCAGAGUAGCAGCCAGGGCAGUCCUGAAAAGAACCGUCUCUGCUUGGGAACCAUCAAUCACCUCUCCGUUUUCAAAGUGCCGCAGACUCUCGGAGAGAGAAAAGACCUUCCG